Molecule: transfer RNA, 70 nt
Filed under: Chrysomeloidea sp. 6 KM-2017
Lineage: Eukaryota; Metazoa; Arthropoda; Insecta; Coleoptera
Description: tRNA-Lys
Source: RNAcentral
CAUUAGGUGGCCGAAAGUAAGCAAUGGAAUUUUAAUCCAUCUCAUAGUAAUUAACUUCUACUUCUAAUGA